GAUGAACGCUGGCGGCGUGCCUAAUACAUGCAAGUCGAGCGAACGGACGAGAAUCUUGCUUCUCUGAUGUUAGCGGCGGACGGGUGAGUAACACGUGGAUAACCUACCUAUAAGACUGGGAUAACUUCGGGAAACCGGAGCUAAUACCGGAUAAUAUUUUGAACCGCAUGGUUCAAAAGUGAAAGACGUUCUUGCUGUCACUUAUAGAUGUAUCCGCGCUGCAUUAGCUAGUUGGUAAGGUAACGGCUUACCAAGGCAACGAUGCAUAGCCGACCUGAGAGGAUGAUCGGCCACACUGGAACUGAGACACGGUCCAGACUCCUACGGGAGGCAGCAGUAGGGAAUCUUCCGCAAUGGGCGAAAGCCUGACGGAGCAACGCCGCGUGAGUGAUGAAGGUCUUCGGAUCGUAAAACUCUGUUAUUAGGGAAGAACAUAUGUGUAAGUAACUGUGCACAUCUUGACGGUACCUAAUCAGAAAGCCACGGCUAACUACGUG
Molecule: ribosomal RNA, 497 nt
Filed under: uncultured bacterium
Lineage: Bacteria
Description: partial 16S ribosomal RNA
Rfam family: Bacterial small subunit ribosomal RNA
Source: RNAcentral